UGACGCUUGUGUCUAAUUAACUUGGGGACU
RNAcentral lists this non-coding RNA (30 nucleotides) under Rattus norvegicus (Norway rat). Lineage: Eukaryota; Metazoa; Chordata; Mammalia; Rodentia; Muridae. The record is from RNAcentral.